GAUUGGAUUAGGCAUGCAAGUCGAACGAGGGAGUAUUCCGAAAGGAGUACAAAUCGAGUGGCGUAAGGGUGAGUAAUGCAUUGAUAACCUGCCUCUGAGAUGAGGAUAACAACGUUUCAAGUAAUUGAAACUACCGAAAGGGUUGCUAAUACUCAAUAAAACUAUUGUUACUUUUGUAGCGAUAGUCAAAUAGAAGGAGAUGAAAGUUUCCAUUUGCUUAGAGAGGGGUCAAUGUCCUAUCAGCUAGUUGGUAAGGUAAUGGCUUACCAAGGCGAAGACGGGUAGCCGGCCUGAGAGGGUGGUCGGCCACACUGGGACUGAGACACUGCCCAGACUCCUACGGGAGGCUGCAGUCGAGAAUCUUUCGCAAUGCCCGAAAGGGUGACGAAGCGACGCCGCGUGCGGGAAGAAGGCCUUCGGGUUGUAAACCGCUGUCGGGAGUUAAGAAAUGCAAGGAUAUUAAUAGUGUCUUUGCUUGACUAAGGCUCCGGAGGAAGCCACGGCUAACUCUGUGCCAGCAGCCGCGGUAAUACAGAGGCGGCAAGCGUUGUUCGGAAUUAUUGGGCGUAAAGAGCACGUAGGCGGCUAUGUAAGUCGGUUGUGAAAGCCUUCCGCUCAACGGGAGAACAGCAUCCGAUACUGCAUGGCUUGAGUGCGGGAGGGGAGAGUGGAACUUCUGGUGGAGCGGUGAAAUGCGUAGAUAUCAGAAGGAACGCCGGCGGCGAAAGCGGCUCUCUGGCCCGUAACUGACGCUGAGUGUGCGAAAGCUAGGGGAGCAAACGGGAUUAGAUACCC
Molecule: ribosomal RNA, 795 nt
Filed under: uncultured bacterium
Lineage: Bacteria
Description: bacterial SSU rRNA
Rfam family: Bacterial small subunit ribosomal RNA
Source: RNAcentral